UGAUGUAGGGAAUUAACCAAA
RNAcentral lists this non-coding RNA (21 nucleotides) under Caenorhabditis elegans. The record is from RNAcentral. Lineage: Eukaryota; Metazoa; Nematoda; Chromadorea; Rhabditida; Rhabditidae.